UUACAGAUAGUAACGGUGAUAUGUGAUUGUAAUGUAAUGUCACAGAUGUUUUAUUGCCUCUGACUUUCUUUAUGGUCACUCAUUUGAAAUGUUAAUACAGACCAUCUCAGAGUGCGGCUUUUUUAAAUUUUAUCCGAUGAUGCCGUGAUUAUAAAAUAAAUGGUUGGGAAUGACUGCCUAGUUAACGGGUAGUAUUUAUGUGUUUCAUUCAGAUUUCAUACCCAUUCCAUUGUCUGAUAACAGAGACAGGAAAUGAUGUAAAUGAAAACAACUAAAUUGUGACUUUAACUGCAUUAAAACACAUUACAGAUGAACAGAGACAACAGGAGAUCCAUCCUUUCUCCCUUCACUCACUAAUUACAGUACAAACACUAAGAAAUAGUUUUGCUGUUGUAAAGUCAGUAACAAAUGAAAUGCAUCAUUAAAUAUUUAAAUUAAAUCAAUUUCACGCUUCUGAGACGUGAGCAAAACAAAGUGGAAACACAACGCAGCCGGAUCCGGUGGACGUUGGUCGUUUACUUUGGUUUUGUGGUACAUGUUGAAAGUGCUACACAAUGAGUUUAAGGGAAUUUAAGAUAUAAAUCUGCUUAUUACUGUUAUUUUUCCCAAACUAAUAUGUGAUUGCAUAAACUGGGUGAUGUGAUAAACAAUGAGUUCCUGGGGUGAUGAACAUCAUCAAAUGAGAAGAAAUUAAUUUAAAUACAUGAUUAAUAAUUUUUCCCCUCAGGGGACAAACAAGAUUGUUUGGGAUUUUUAAUUUGUUGUACUCAUCAGUAACAUUUUGUGCAUUGUAAUUUAUUCAGCUGGCGUUGCAUUAGUCAUUCCGUGACCUCACUGCAGCCCGGUGGUGCUGCCGAAGGUUUAAAUGAUUGGUUUUAAAUGAUUAAUGCCCAGGCGCUCUGUGUAGAGACACCUAAUGAUAAUUAAUGAACUUCAUUUAUGUAAAUCAAAUGCAGUUUGUCUAUGUUUCAAAUACGUUUUGGUGUUUGCAAAGUCAAUCAACAUCUCCAGAACAUUUUUUUGCUUAAAUUAAGAUGAUUAAAGUACUUAAUUAGCCAUCCCCACAGGAGGUACAUGUAAAUUUAGACCUGGCUGUAUAACAAUUUUGUAAAAUAAUUACAAUAAAAAUGCAAAUGCAUGAAA
Long non-coding RNA from Sebastes umbrosus (honeycomb rockfish), 1143 nucleotides. RefSeq lists it as uncharacterized. The record is from RefSeq and is a predicted model, not a curated record. NCBI's taxonomy places the organism in Eukaryota, Metazoa, Chordata, Actinopteri, Perciformes, Sebastidae. The transcript is spliced from 2 exons.